RNAcentral lists this long non-coding RNA (361 nucleotides) under Zonotrichia albicollis (white-throated sparrow). Its description in RNAcentral is "lncRNA (ENSZALG00000003559.1)". The record is from RNAcentral. Lineage: Eukaryota; Metazoa; Chordata; Aves; Passeriformes; Passerellidae.
GCUUGAUCAAAGUGGGGCCUCCAGGACAGCCUGUUCUGUCUGCAGAGAAGUGCAGUUGGUGAGCAGUGUUAAAACACAGUGUUAAACUCUGACCCUGAAAGGUGAGGAAGUGAAGGAAAUGGAAGAGUGAAAUUUGGGGAGUCUGGGGCAAAAAAGCCAAAGGAACCACGGGACAGCCUGUCUGGUUGAGAGAUUGAAAUAAACAGGAAACGUGGCUGGAGCAGGAGCACCCCGAGCCACUGCUGUGUCAACAGCAUCACAAAUACAGGUAUCCAGGAUCUGCACCCUGCCUGCAUUUUCCAUGGAUUUCCACUCUGCUCUGCAGCCUGGAACACACUUACAAGAGAUUAGUGGUUGGUGA